RNAcentral lists this RNase P RNA (368 nucleotides) under Rickettsiaceae bacterium. RNAcentral describes it as "RNase P RNA component class A". It matches the Rfam family "Bacterial RNase P class A". Rfam says of the family: Ribonuclease P (RNase P) is a ubiquitous endoribonuclease, found in archaea, bacteria and eukarya as well as chloroplasts and mitochondria. The record is from RNAcentral. Lineage: Bacteria; Pseudomonadati; Pseudomonadota; Alphaproteobacteria; Rickettsiales; Rickettsiaceae.
GCGGAUGGUUGCGUAGCUGCGCCAUUUAGGCGAGGAAAGUCCGGACUCCAUAGAAGCACGGUGCCGGGUAAUGCCCGGCUGAGGUAACUCAAGGGAAAGUGCCACAGAAAAUAUACCGCCAUUUAUUGGUAAGGGUGAAAAGGUGCGGUAAGAGCGCACCGGUAUUUUGGUAACAAAAUGCGCAUGGUAAACCCCACCUGGAGCAAGACCAAAUAGGCAUAGCAAGUAACUUAUGUUCGUGAGAUGUUUCUACUCAUAUUGCUGUGCGGGUAGGUUGCUUAAACAUAUUUGGUAACAAUUAUGUUAGAUAAAUAGCUGCGCAGGGAUUUUUUCCUGGACAGAAUCCGGCUUAUAGACUAUCCGUUUUU